GAUGAAGAACGCAGUGAAAUGCGAUAAGUAAUGUGAAUUGCAGAAUUCAGUGAAUCAUCGAAUCUUUGAACGCACAUUGCGCCCCUUGGUAUUCCGAGGGGCAUGCCUGUUCGAGCGUCAUUAUAACCCUUCAAGCUCAGCUUGGUGUUGGGGCCUGCUGUAACUGGUAGCCCUUAAAGUCAGUGGCAGUGCUAUUAGGCUCUAAGCGUAGUAAUUCUUCUCGCUAUAGUGUGUAGUGAGCGCUUGCCAGAACCCCAAACUUUUAUAUGAUUGACCUCGGAUCAGGUAGGGAUACCCGCUGAACUUAAGCAUAUCAAUAAGCGGAGGA
Molecule: unclassified non-coding RNA, 328 nt
Filed under: soil metagenome
Description: partial contains 5.8S ribosomal RNA, internal transcribed spacer 2, and large subunit ribosomal RNA
Rfam family: 5.8S ribosomal RNA (bases 1-120)
Source: RNAcentral